This 253-nucleotide ribosomal RNA is filed under the name uncultured bacterium. RNAcentral describes it as "partial 16S ribosomal RNA". It matches the Rfam family "Bacterial small subunit ribosomal RNA", at positions 524 to 776 of the family's 1533-position model. The record is from RNAcentral.
GACAGAGGGUGCAAACGUUGUUCGGAAUUACUGGGCGUAAAGCGUGUGUAGGCGGUUCUCUAAGUCGGAUGUGAAAUCCCUGGGCUCAACCCAGGAAGUGCACUCGAAACUGGAGGGCUAGAGUAUCGGAGAGGGAAGUGGAAUUUCCGGUGUAGCGGUGAAAUGCGUAGAUAUCGGAAGGAACAUCAGUGGCGAAAGCGACUUCCUGGACCAAUACUGACGCUCAUGUGCGAAAGCGUGGGGAGCAAACAGG